CUCAACCUGGGAACUGCAUUGGUGACUGGCAGGCUAGAGUAUGGCAGAGGGGGGUAGAAUUCCACGUGUAGCAGUGAAAUGCGUAGAGAUGUGGAGGAAUACCGAUGGCGAAGGCAGCCCCCUGGGCCAAUACUGACGCUCAUGCACGAAAGCGUGGGGAGCAAACGGGAUUAGAUACCCUGGUAGUCCACGCCCUAAACGAUGUCAACUAGUUGUUGGGGAUUCAUUUCCUUAGUAACGUAGCUAACGCGUGAAGUUGACCGCCUGGGGAGUACGGUCGCAAGAUUAAAACUCAAAGGAAUUGACGGGGACCCGCACAAGCGGUGGAUGAUGUGGAUUAAUUCGAUGCAACGCGAAAAACCUUACCUACCCUUGACAUGGUCGGAAUCCCGCUGAGAGGUGGGAGUGCUCGAAAGAGAAGCG
This 423-nucleotide ribosomal RNA is filed under the name uncultured beta proteobacterium. Its description in RNAcentral is "bacterial SSU rRNA". It matches the Rfam family "Bacterial small subunit ribosomal RNA", at positions 608 to 1029 of the family's 1533-position model. The record is from RNAcentral. Lineage: Bacteria; Pseudomonadati; Pseudomonadota; Betaproteobacteria.